CUUUGCAAAGUAUCCAAGACCAACAAGAAAGGAGAGUAAUAUCCUACCUCACCCUGCCACCACCAGAAGAGGGGCACAGAGAUGGGGGAGAGAGUGGCAGCAUCUGGCAUCCAGCCAGAGGAGUCUGUGAAGGGA
Aotus nancymaae (Ma's night monkey) is the source of this 135-nucleotide unclassified non-coding RNA. Lineage: Eukaryota; Metazoa; Chordata; Mammalia; Primates; Aotidae. The record is from Ensembl.